CCUAAUACAUGCAAGUCGAGCGAACAGACGAGGAGCUUGCUCCUCUGACGUUAGCGGCGGACGGGUGAGUAACACGUGGAUAACCUACCUAUAAGACUGGGAUAACUUCGGGAAACCGGAGCUAAUACCGGAUAAUAUAUUGAACCGCAUGGUUCAAUAGUGAAAGACGGUUUUGCUGUCACUUAUAGAUGGAUCCGCGCCGCAUUAGCUAGUUGGUAAGGUAACGGCUUACCAAGGCAACGAUGCGUAGCCGACCUGAGAGGGUGAUCGGCCACACUGGAACUGAGACACGGUCCAGACUCCUACGGGAGGCAGCAGUAGGGAAUCUUCCGCAAUGGGCGAAAGCCUGACGGAGCAACGCCGCGUGAGUGAUGAAGGUCUUCGGAUCGUAAAACUCUGUUAUUAGGGAAGAACAAAUGUGUAAGUAACUAUGCACGUCUUGACGGUACCUAAUCAGAAAGCCACGGCUAACUACGUGCCAGCAGCCGCGGUAAUACGUAGGUGGCAAGCGUUAUCCGGAAUUAUUGGGCGUAAAGCGCGCGUAGGCGGUUUUUUAAGUCUGAUGUGAAAGCCCACGGCUCAACCGUGGAGGGUCAUUGGAAACUGGAAAACUUGAGUGCAGAAGAGGAAAGUGGAAUUCCAUGUGUAGCGGUGAAAUGCGCAGAGAUAUGGAGGAACACCAGUGGCGAAGGCGACUUUCUGGUCUGUAACUGACGCUGAUGUGCGAAAGCGUGGGGAUCAAACAGGAUUAGAUACCCUGGUAGUCCACGCCGUAAACGAUGAGUGCUAAGUGUUA
Molecule: ribosomal RNA, 796 nt
Filed under: uncultured Staphylococcus sp.
Lineage: Bacteria; Bacillati; Bacillota; Bacilli; Caryophanales; Staphylococcaceae
Description: bacterial SSU rRNA
Rfam family: Bacterial small subunit ribosomal RNA
Source: RNAcentral